Molecule: long non-coding RNA, 417 nt
Filed under: Vigna radiata
Lineage: Eukaryota; Viridiplantae; Streptophyta; Magnoliopsida; Fabales; Fabaceae
Description: long non-coding RNA (VRAD_LNC014040)
Source: RNAcentral
AAUAGUACCUGGUUUGCGAUGAUGGAGUGCAGAGAAGAAGAAGAACUUAACAGAACAAGAAGAAAAGAAGAAGAAGAAAAGGGGGAUAAUAGUACCUGGUUUGCGAUGAUGGAGUGCAGAGAAGAAGAAGAACUUAACACAGCAAGAAGAAAAGGGGAUGUGACUGCUAGGUCAAGAGAAAAGAGAUAAGAGAAAAAGUGGGAAACGUUUUGAGAGUAAAAAGUAAAAGUGAACAUAAGUAAGUUAAAAACAUUCACAGAAUUCGUUUUCCUGGUGUACGAAUUUUGAAUUUUAAAUUUUAUAAAAACAUUUUGAAUCAUAUUCAAAGUUCGGUUUCCUGGAAAUCGAAUUCUUAACCUAUUAAAAAUUGUACUAUAUAGGUAAAUAUAAUAAACAGUAUGCUAUAUGUGAAAUUAA